RNAcentral lists this long non-coding RNA (595 nucleotides) under Elaeis guineensis (African oil palm). RNAcentral's name for it is "long non-coding RNA (EGUI_LNC064110)". The record is from RNAcentral. Lineage: Eukaryota; Viridiplantae; Streptophyta; Magnoliopsida; Arecales; Arecaceae.
ACCUUCCCGGUGGAGAACCCCACCGAACCCCACGAUCCAGACUCCUCUGCCUGCAUACCCGGGGUGGAGUAUGGGCACGCUUGUGCCCAGGAGGGGAUUGAGAAUGCGGCCGAGCUUCUCUCGGCCUUUUUUCAACUGCGGGCUUACUCGAGUCUCCCGCCUGCCACUCUCUCGCGGUCUCCUCAUCCUUCAUUUUGAAGGCUUCUUCCGCUCGGACGUACCCUUCAGCUCGAGCCAACAAAUCAGCAAAAUCCCUGGGGUACUUCUUCUCCAGGGAGAACAAAAGGUCAUUCUUCUAAAGGCCACCCUUCAGAGUGGCCAUUGCGACUGAUUGGUCCAAGUUCCGAACCUCCAGCGCCGCGACAUUGAAAUGGUUGAUGUAGGCCCGAAUGGACUCCCCUUCCCUCUACUUGAUAUUGAUGAGGGACUCCGAACCCUUCCGGAGGCGUCGGCUGCUGACAAAAUGGGCCACGAAUUGGUGGCUCAUCUGAUCGAAGGAAAAGAUGGUACCCGACUUCAGGGCCGAGUACCAGUUUCUCGCCGCUCCCUUCAAGGUGGAUGGGAAGGCUCGGCAUAGAAUGGCGUCGGGAGCGCC